AAAUAGAACUUUGCAGAGAGAGUUAACAGGGCGUGAAACCGUUAAUUGGCAAACGAAUCGGAGCCACGAAGUCGUUUCGUUGAGUUGAGCUAGGUUCAGCUUAGGAUCCUCGGAUCUUAAGUGCACUCUUAGUGAAACCUUUGUAAGCGUACACUGCAACCAGUUAGACGAUUGGUGAUGGGCCCAGUUGAUACCUUAGUUAGUAGUAGUAUUGUGCGCUUCUGUGUAUUGAUGCUGCUGGGCUAUGGUAAGUGAACUAUCUACCAAAUACUGACUGGCAAAAUGAAAAUCGCCUUGUGCGUAAUAUAAAAUGCUUCAGCUAGUAUAAGUGCUUACAUGCGCAACCAUAGGGUUUUAAGCUCAGCAUUUUUGAAUUUAGACUUGCAUUCUACCAGUGGGGCAACUCCUGGUGCUUGUAUAGCUUCUAUCUAAUCGGGUGUUGACUUGAUCUUAUGUUGUUUGGGUAUGCUACGAUCGAGUACUAAUACAAAGUUGUUUGCAAUUGAUUGGCAGUGAGUAGGUCGGCUUUCCGAACGACCCGUCUUGAAACACGGACCAAGGAGUCUAAUUAGGCAUCAAGUCGAUCAGUCUUGAAUAGGCUAGACUGUGGGGUUUCUCACGAAUGAAGGCGUAGAGACAAUCAUGUGAUCAAUUGGGCAAAACAGCCCUUAUGCGCAACAUGUGCCUGUUCGUAUAGUAAUGUAGCAAUAAUUACUGGGCGGAGCAAAGAGAUGCUUGAUUGGUACCCGAAAGAUGGUGAGCUUGGGCAAAUUGAAGCCAGAGGAAACUCUGGUGGAGGAUUGUAGCGAUUCUGACGUGCAAAUCGAUCGUCAGACCUGAGUAUAGGGGCGAAAGACUAAUCGAACCAUC
This 870-nucleotide ribosomal RNA is filed under the name Acarhis sp. Z277. Its description in RNAcentral is "partial large subunit ribosomal RNA". It matches the Rfam family "Eukaryotic large subunit ribosomal RNA", at positions 366 to 944 of the family's 3401-position model. Lineage: Eukaryota; Metazoa; Arthropoda; Arachnida; Trombidiformes; Diptilomiopidae. The record is from RNAcentral.